GGGCUGGUGGUCUAGUGGCAUGACGUCUGCCUCACACGCAGAAGAUCGGGAGUUCAAUUCUCCCCCGGCCCA
RNAcentral lists this transfer RNA (72 nucleotides) under Nanobdellota archaeon. Its description in RNAcentral is "tRNA-Val". It matches the Rfam family "tRNA". From Rfam's summary of the family: Transfer RNA (tRNA) molecules are approximately 80 nucleotides in length. Their secondary structure includes four short double-helical elements and three loops (D, anti-codon, and T loops). RNAcentral also lists the same sequence under 1 other name. Lineage: Archaea; Nanobdellati; Nanobdellota. The record is from RNAcentral.